GAUGAACGUUGGCGACGUGCCUAACACAUGCAAGUCGAGCGGAGAAGAAGAGAGUGAACUUUUCGGAGCGAACUUUUUUCGGAUCAGCGGCGGACGGGUGAGUAAUACAUGAGGAACCUGCCCUCUCCAAGGGGAUAGCCGGGGGAAACCGCGAUUAUUACCCUAUGAGACCACGAAAGCGCAUGCUUUUGAGGUUAAAGAUUGAUCGGUAGAAGAUGGCCUCAUGACCCAUUUGCCAGUGGGUGAUUUAACAGCCCACCAAGGAGACGAUGGGUAGCCGGGUGGAGAGAGGGAACGGCUACGUUGGAAAUGCGACACGGUCCAGACUCCUACGGAAGGCAGCGGUGGGGAAUAUUGCACAAGGGAGGAAACCCUGAUGAAGCGACGUCGCGUGAGCGAAGAAGGCCUUCGGGUCGUAAAGCUCUGUCCUAUGGGAAGAAAAGGACGGUACCAGAGAAGGAAGCCCCGGCUAACUACGUG
RNAcentral lists this ribosomal RNA (480 nucleotides) under uncultured bacterium. RNAcentral describes it as "partial 16S ribosomal RNA". It matches the Rfam family "Bacterial small subunit ribosomal RNA", at positions 28 to 507 of the family's 1533-position model. The record is from RNAcentral.